RNAcentral lists this ribosomal RNA (533 nucleotides) under Pseudomonas sp. S15(2015). Its description in RNAcentral is "bacterial SSU rRNA". It matches the Rfam family "Bacterial small subunit ribosomal RNA", at positions 71 to 600 of the family's 1533-position model. Lineage: Bacteria; Pseudomonadati; Pseudomonadota; Gammaproteobacteria; Pseudomonadales; Pseudomonadaceae. The record is from RNAcentral.
GAGGGGAGCUUGCUUCCUGAUUCAGCGGCGGACGGGUGAGUAAUGCCUAGGAAUCUGCCUGGUAGUGGGGGACAACGUUUCGAAAGGAACGCUAAUACCGCAUACGUCCUACGGGAGAAAGCAGGGGACCUUCGGGCCUUGCGCUAUCAGAUGAGCCUAGGUCGGAUUAGCUAGUUGGUGAGGUAAUGGCUCACCAAGGCGACGAUCCGUAACUGGUCUGAGAGGAUGAUCAGUCACACUGGAACUGAGACACGGUCCAGACUCCUACGGGAGGCAGCAGUGGGGAAUAUUGGACAAUGGGCGAAAGCCUGAUCCAGCCAUGCCGCGUGUGUGAAGAAGGUCUUCGGAUUGUAAAGCACUUUAAGUUGGGAGGAAGGGUUGUAGAUUAAUACUCUGCAAUUUUGACGUUACCGACAGAAUAAGCACCGGCUAACUCUGUGCCAGCAGCCGCGGUAAUACAGAGGGUGCAAGCGUUAAUCGGAAUUACUGGGCGUAAAGCGCGCGUAGGUGGUUUGUUAAGUUGGAUGUGAAAG